GGAUGAACGCUGGCGGCGUGCCUAAUACAUGCAAGUCGAGCGAACAGACGAGGAGCUUGCUCCUCUGACGUUAGCGGCGGACGGGUGAGUAACACGUGGAUAACCUACCUAUAAGACUGGGAUAACUUCGGGAAACCGGAGCUAAUACCGGAUAAUAUAUUGAACCGCAUGGUUCAAUAGUGAAAGACGGUUUUGCUGUCACUUAUAGAUGGAUCCGCGCCGCAUUAGCUAGUUGGUAAGGUAACGGCUUACCAAGGCAACGAUGCGUAGCCGACCUGAGAGGGUGAUCGGCCACACUGGAACUGAGACACGGUCCAGACUCCUACGGGAGGCAGCAGUAGGGAAUCUUCCGCAAUGGGCGAAAGCCUGACGGAGCAACGCCGCGUGAGUGAUGAAGGUCUUCGGAUCGUAAAACUCUGUUAUUAGGGAAGAACAAAUGUGUAAGUAACUAUGCACGUCUUGACGGUACCUAAUCAGAAAGCCACGGCUAACUAC
Molecule: ribosomal RNA, 495 nt
Filed under: Staphylococcus epidermidis
Lineage: Bacteria; Bacillati; Bacillota; Bacilli; Caryophanales; Staphylococcaceae
Description: bacterial SSU rRNA
Rfam family: Bacterial small subunit ribosomal RNA
Source: RNAcentral